RNAcentral lists this ribosomal RNA (253 nucleotides) under uncultured bacterium. Its description in RNAcentral is "partial 16S ribosomal RNA". It matches the Rfam family "Bacterial small subunit ribosomal RNA", at positions 524 to 776 of the family's 1533-position model. The record is from RNAcentral.
GACGAACCGUGCGAACGUUGUUCGGAAUCACUGGGCUUAAAGGGCGCGUAGGCGGGCUAUCAAGUCCGGGGUGAAAUCCUCCAGCUUAACUGGAGAACUGCCUCGGAUACUGAUGGUCUCGAGGAGGAUAGGGGCACACGGAACUGUGGGUGGAGCGGUGAAAUUCGUAGAUAUCGGGAGGAACACCAGUGGCGAAGGCGGCGACCUGGGCCAAUAUUGACGCUGAGGUGCGAAAGCGUGGGGAGCAAACAGG